RNAcentral lists this ribosomal RNA (31 nucleotides) under Cephaleuros parasiticus. RNAcentral's name for it is "partial 18S ribosomal RNA". The record is from RNAcentral. Lineage: Eukaryota; Viridiplantae; Chlorophyta; Ulvophyceae; Trentepohliales; Trentepohliaceae. RNAcentral also lists the same sequence under 3 other names.
UGCCUAGUAAGCGCGAGUCAUCAGCUCGCGU